GCGGGCGUGGCGGAACUGGUAGACGCACCAGACUUAAAAUCUGUUGGGCCGCAAGGCCCGUGCCGGUUCGACCCCGGCCGCCCGUACCA
RNAcentral lists this transfer RNA (89 nucleotides) under Hyphomonadaceae bacterium. RNAcentral's name for it is "tRNA-Leu". It matches the Rfam family "tRNA". From Rfam's summary of the family: Transfer RNA (tRNA) molecules are approximately 80 nucleotides in length. Their secondary structure includes four short double-helical elements and three loops (D, anti-codon, and T loops). Lineage: Bacteria; Pseudomonadati; Pseudomonadota; Alphaproteobacteria; Hyphomonadales; Hyphomonadaceae. The record is from RNAcentral.